CAUGGCGGACGGCCCUACACAUGCGAGUCGAACGAACUCUUCGGAGUUAGUGGCGGACGGGUGAGUAACACGUGGGAACGUGCCUUUAGGUUCGGAAUAACUCAGGGAAACUUGUGCUAAUACCGAAUGUGCCCUUCGGGGGAAAGAUUUAUCGCCUUUAGAGCGGCCCGCGUCUGAUUAGCUAGUUGGUGGUGUAAUGGACCACCAAGGCGACGAUCAGUAGCUGGUCUGAGAGGAUGAUCAGCCACAUUGGGACUGAGACACGGCCCAAACUCCUACGGGAGGCAGCAGUGGGGAAUCUUGCGCAAUGGGCGAAAGCCUGACGCAGCCAUGCCGCGUGAAUGAUGAAGGUCUUAGGAUUGUAAAAUUCUUUCACCGGGGACGAUAAUGACGGUACCCGGAGAAGAAGCCCCGGCUAACUUCGUGCCAGCGGCCGCGGUAAUACGAAGGGGGCUAGCGUUGCUCGGAAUUACUGGGCGUAAAGGGAGCGUAGGCGGACAUUUAAGUCAGGGGUGAAAUCCCGGGGCUCAACCUCGGAAUUGCCUUUGAUACUGGGUGUCUUGAGUAUGAGAGAGGUGUGUGGAACUCCGAGUGUAGAGGUGAAAUUCGUAGAUAUUCGGAAGAACACCAGUGGCGAAGGCGACACACUGGCUCAUUACUGACGCUGAGGCUCGAAAGCGUGGGGAGCAAACAGGAUUAGAUACCCUGGUAGUCCACGCCGUAAACGAUGAUUGCUAGUUGUCGGGAUGCAUGCAUUUCGGUGACGCAGCUAACGCAUUAAGCAAUCCGCCUGGGGAGUACGGUCGCAGAUUAAAACUCA
This 820-nucleotide ribosomal RNA is filed under the name uncultured Brevundimonas sp. RNAcentral's name for it is "bacterial SSU rRNA". It matches the Rfam family "Bacterial small subunit ribosomal RNA", at positions 36 to 903 of the family's 1533-position model. Lineage: Bacteria; Pseudomonadati; Pseudomonadota; Alphaproteobacteria; Caulobacterales; Caulobacteraceae. The record is from RNAcentral.